UACGAAGGGGGCUAGCGUUGCUCGGAAUCACUGGGCGUAAAGGGUGCGUAGGCGGGUCUUUAAGUCAGGGGUGAAAUCCUGGAGCUCAACUCCAGAACUGCCUUUGAUACUGAAGAUCUUGAGUUCGGGAGAGGUGAGUGGAACUGCGAGUGUAGAGGUGAAAUUCGUAGAUAUUCGCAAGAACACCAGUGGCGAAGGCGGCCAACUGGUCCGGUACUGACGCUGAGGUGGCGAAAAGCGUGGGGAGCAACAGG
Molecule: ribosomal RNA, 254 nt
Filed under: uncultured bacterium
Lineage: Bacteria
Description: partial 16S ribosomal RNA
Rfam family: Bacterial small subunit ribosomal RNA
Source: RNAcentral